This 465-nucleotide ribosomal RNA is filed under the name uncultured Klebsiella sp. Its description in RNAcentral is "bacterial SSU rRNA". It matches the Rfam family "Bacterial small subunit ribosomal RNA", at positions 338 to 795 of the family's 1533-position model. The record is from RNAcentral. Lineage: Bacteria; Pseudomonadati; Pseudomonadota; Gammaproteobacteria; Enterobacterales; Enterobacteriaceae.
CCUACGGGUGGCAGCAGUGGGGAAUAUUGCACAAUGGGCGCAAGCCUGAUGCAGCCAUGCCGCGUGUGUGAAGAAGGCCUUCGGGUUGUAAAGCACUUUCAGCGGGGAGGAAGGCGUUAAGGUUAAUAACCUUGGCGAUUGACGUUACCCGCAGAAGAAGCACCGGCUAACUCCGUGCCAGCAGCCGCGGUAAUACGGAGGGUGCAAGCGUUAAUCGGAAUUACUGGGCGUAAAGCGCACGCAGGCGGUCUGUCAAGUCGGAUGUGAAAUCCCCGGGCUCAACCUGGGAACUGCAUUCGAAACUGGCAGGCUAGAGUCUUGUAGAGGGGAGUAGAAUUCCAGGUGUAGCGGUGAAAUGCGUAGAGAUCUGGAGGAAUACCGGUGGCGAAGGCGGCCCCCUGGACAAAGACUGACGCUCAGGUGCGAAAGCGUGGGGAGCAAACAGGAUUAGAUACCCGGGUAGUC